UUUGUUUUGUUUUUAUGUGUGUGUACAUGUUCAUGUGUGCAGGUAUACAUACAUAUACACACAUAUGGAGAACAGAGGGCAAA
RNAcentral lists this microRNA precursor (83 nucleotides) under Nannospalax galili (Upper Galilee mountains blind mole rat). RNAcentral's name for it is "miRNA (ENSNGAG00000006557.1)". Lineage: Eukaryota; Metazoa; Chordata; Mammalia; Rodentia; Spalacidae. The record is from RNAcentral.